AGCGAACGCUGGCGGCAGGCUUAACACAUGCAAGUCGAACGGGCACUUCGGUGUCAGCGGCUGACGGGUGAGUAACACGUGGGAACGUACCCUUCGGUUCGGAAUAACGCUGGGAAACUAGCGCUAAUACCGGAUACGUCCCUCUGGUGAAAGGUUUACUGCCGAAGGUUCGGCCCGCGACUGUUUAGCUAGUUGGUGGGGUAAUGGCCUACCAAGGCUAGGCUCAUUAGCUGGUCUGAGAGGAUGAUCAGCGACACUGGGACUGAGACACGGCCCAGACUCCUACGGGAGGGAGGAGUGGGGAAUAUUGGACAACGGGCGCAAGGAUGAUGGAGCCAGGCCGGGUGAGUGAUGAAGGUGUGAGGGUUGUAAAGCAGGUUUGUACGGGACGAUAAUGACGGUACCGGAAGAAUAAGCACCGGCUAACUUCGUG
This 433-nucleotide ribosomal RNA is filed under the name uncultured bacterium. RNAcentral describes it as "partial 16S ribosomal RNA". It matches the Rfam family "Bacterial small subunit ribosomal RNA", at positions 29 to 507 of the family's 1533-position model. The record is from RNAcentral.